CCCGGGUGGCUGCAGUGGGGGAUAUUGCUCAAUGGGGGAAACCCUGAUGCAGCGACGCCGCGUGGGUGAAGAAGCGCCUCGGCGCGUAAAGCCCUGUCAGCAGGGAAGAAAAUGACGGUACCUGAAGAAGAAGCCCCGGCUAACUACGUGCCAGCAGCCGCGGUAAUACGUAGGGGGCAAGCGUUAUCCGGAUUGAAUGGGUGGAAUGGGGGCGCAGACGGCGAUGCAAGGCAGGAGUGAAAGCCCGGGGCCCAACCCCGGGACUGCUCUUGGAACUGCGUGGCUAGAGUGCAGGAGGGGCAGGCGGAAUUCCUGGUGUAGCGGUGAAAUGCGUAGAUAUCAGGAGGAACACCGAUGGCGAAGGCGGCCUGCUGGACUGCAACUGACGUUGAGGCCCGAAAGCGUGGGGAGCAAACAGGAUUAGAUACCCGGGUAGUC
Molecule: ribosomal RNA, 438 nt
Filed under: uncultured bacterium
Lineage: Bacteria
Description: partial 16S ribosomal RNA
Rfam family: Bacterial small subunit ribosomal RNA
Source: RNAcentral